Molecule: small RNA, 941 nt
Filed under: Pongo abelii (Sumatran orangutan)
Lineage: Eukaryota; Metazoa; Chordata; Mammalia; Primates; Hominidae
Description: retained intron
Source: RNAcentral
AAAGCCAACACCUAUUGAGUUGCAGUUAAAAUGAGGGCGAAAAAGGCUUUUGUUUCAGUUCUGCAGAUGGUCUGGGAGCUUGUGUUUCUUAGCAAGAAUUUUCUAGAUCUUUUGGCUUGAACCAUCUGAAUAACUGCCUCAAGCUUUUGCAUGGUUCCCACUGGGUGGGCUGGGGUGGGAGGGGCUGUCAUGCAUGGUCCGGGAAAGCUGGAGAAGGCUGUUCCUUCACCCCGAGCCUUGGAUUUCUUAUCUGUGAAAUGGGAGGCUGCAAUGAUGAAUGGCAAAGUACCUUUUUUUUUUCAGCUUUGAAAGUCUAGGAUAUUUAGCCACUGGAAGACCAGCAGACAAUGUCAUGACAACUCAAGAGGAUACAACAGGGUUGCUUCAAAAGACAAGUCUUUGGACCAUGUCAAGACCUGGAGCGAAGAAGGUAAUGAACUCCUGCUUCAUAGCAGGCCGUGGGCCAGCAGUUUGCUACUCUGCUGUCUCUUGGUUAAGGCAAGGUUUCAGUAUCGCCCUGACUUCUUUUGGAAGGAUCCCUUGGCCUCAGGCUGGAGUGGGCACCUGCCCUAGCCCACAGAGCUGGGUUUCUCCCUUUCUUCAACCACACAGGAAGCACCACUAUGCAAAGACCUCAUCACGUUCACAGCCGUCUCCCCAGAGCCUCGCACUGUGCUUGGCAUAUAGCAGGUGCUCAGUAAAUAUCUGCCAAAUGACUGAAUGCAUCUCACCAGCCUCAGGACGCCACCAGGCCCUGAGGGAGCCAGGAGGAUCAGAGGAAAGCUUUUGGAUUCCUGCCACGCCUUACAUUAGCAACAUCUUCUCCGAGUCCUGACAGCCAGCCUCCUGGGACACCAUUCGAGCCAGCUGAAUUCCGGUCACCGCUUCACCUUGGAAAGGCAUCCGCAGCCCUCACCAAGCGCCCCGUAAUUGACGUCACA